RNAcentral lists this transfer RNA (72 nucleotides) under Camelus bactrianus (Bactrian camel). It matches the Rfam family "tRNA". From Rfam's summary of the family: Transfer RNA (tRNA) molecules are approximately 80 nucleotides in length. Lineage: Eukaryota; Metazoa; Chordata; Mammalia; Artiodactyla; Camelidae. RNAcentral also lists the same sequence under 1 other name. The record is from Rfam by way of RNAcentral.
GGGGGUCUAGCUUAGUGGUAGAGCAUGUGCUUAGCAUGAGAAAGGUCCUGAGUUCAAUCCCCAGUACCUCCA